RNAcentral lists this ribosomal RNA (253 nucleotides) under uncultured bacterium. RNAcentral's name for it is "partial 16S ribosomal RNA". It matches the Rfam family "Bacterial small subunit ribosomal RNA", at positions 524 to 776 of the family's 1533-position model. The record is from RNAcentral.
UACGUAGGGGGCAAGCGUUGUCCGGAUUCAUUGGGCGUAAAGAGCGUGUAGGCGGCCAGGUAGGUCGGUUGUGAAAACUGGAGGCUCAACCUUCAGAGGUCGACCGAAACCAUCUGGCUAGAGUCCGGGAGAGGAGAGUGGAAUUCCUGGUGUAGCGGUGAAAUGCGCAGAUAUCAGGAGGAACACCGGUGGCGAAGGCGGAUCUCUGGGCCUUACCUGACGCUGAGGCGCGAAAGCUAGGGGAGCGAACAGG